AUGGUAGCAGGCUGUGUGUUAGUGUGCACUGAUUGUAACAGCUCCCCACGCUGUCUCAGGAGGCAGCGAAUGAGUCAGGUUCACAGACUCCCACAAAAGGAAGGAAUUCAUCAUUAGACUGAGUUCCGGAUCUUUCCACCUUCGCCUCAUGGGUUCAACAGUUUCAUACCACUUUUGAAAUGAUUAUAGAUGAUGGAGCUCACGGGUCACACCUGCAGCAUUUGGACAGUGAUUGCUAAUACCACAUUUUAAUAUGAAGUCUGUAGAUCCUGAGAAUGCAUGCUGUUGUCUGUGCAGGGACCACGAGAUAAGUCUGACUCAGUAUCAGAACAUAUGCGUUCCACACAGAAGGACAAGUCCACGUCCUUGGUCCUGCUCUCUACCUGACUCAGUAUCAGAACAUACACAUUCCACACAGAAGGACAAGUCCACGCCCUUGUCCUGCUCUCUACCUGCUCCUUUUACCUUUCACUCUGAGUGAGGCAGAAGGACGCUGUCAUCAGGUGCUGGCACCGCAG
Mesocricetus auratus (golden hamster) is the source of this 518-nucleotide long non-coding RNA. RefSeq lists it as uncharacterized. The record is from RefSeq and is a predicted model, not a curated record. The transcript is spliced from 3 exons. Lineage: Eukaryota; Metazoa; Chordata; Mammalia; Rodentia; Cricetidae.